This 254-nucleotide ribosomal RNA is filed under the name uncultured bacterium. RNAcentral's name for it is "partial 16S ribosomal RNA". It matches the Rfam family "Bacterial small subunit ribosomal RNA", at positions 524 to 776 of the family's 1533-position model. The record is from RNAcentral.
UACGUAGGGUGCAAGCGUUGUCCGGAAUUAUUGGGCGUAAAGAGCGUGUAGGCGGCCUGACAGGUCUGCUGUGAAAACUCGAGGCUCAACCUCGAGAUGUCGGCGGAAACCGUCUGGCUAGAGUCCGGAAGAGGAGAGUGGAAUUCCCGGUGUAGCGGUGAAAUGCGCAGAUAUCGGGAAGAACACCCGUGGCGAAGGCGGCUCUCUGGGGACGGUACUGACGCUGAGACGCGAAAGCGUGGGGAGCGAACAGG